GCCCCAGUAGCUCAGCUCGGUAGAGCGACGGUCUUGUAAACCGUUGGUCAGGGGUUCAAAGCCCCUCUGGGGCUCCA
This 77-nucleotide transfer RNA is filed under the name Thermoproteota archaeon. RNAcentral describes it as "tRNA-Thr". It matches the Rfam family "tRNA". From Rfam's summary of the family: Transfer RNA (tRNA) molecules are approximately 80 nucleotides in length. Their secondary structure includes four short double-helical elements and three loops (D, anti-codon, and T loops). The record is from RNAcentral. Lineage: Archaea; Thermoproteati; Thermoproteota. RNAcentral also lists the same sequence under 2 other names.